UAUGUGAUCGUCUCUCGCAUAUCAAUAAGCGGAGGAAAAGGAGUAUACCUACGCUUAGGAUGUUGACACACGCGCGUGCUCGACUCUAUACAUGACUCUGUGCAUAUCAAUAAGCGGAGGAAAAGAAACUAACAAGGAUUCCCCUAGUAACGGCGAGUGAAGCGGGAAGAGCUCAAAUUUGAAAUCUUAAAGGGUUUCCCUUUACGAAUUGUAGUUUAAAGAAGUGUUUUCUGUUGAGGUUUUGGUAAAAGUUCUUUGGAAUAGGACAUCAUAGAGGGUGAGAAUCCCGUAUUUGACCUUUACUUUCAACUUUGUGAUACACUUUCAAAGAGUCGGAUUGUUUGGGAAUGCAGUCCAAAAUGGGUGGUAAAUUUCAUCUAAAGCUAAAUAUUGGCGAGAGACCGAUAGCGAACAAGCUACCGUGAGGGAAAGAUGAAAAGAACUUUGAAAAGAGAGUUAAACAGUACGUGAAAUUGUCAAAAGGGAAGCGUUUGACACCAGUGUUGUUUUUCUGAAAAUCAAUUAAAGAACUGUUUAUGCUAAGUUGUUUAGACUUUAUCAGCUAUCUGUUUAGUUUUGAGCUUUUCUUUAAUGCACUUUUCAGUUAACAAGUCAACAUCAAUUUCUUUUGCUGUAAAAAAGCUUGAGGAAGGUGGCUUGAGAUUCGUCUUAAGUGUUUAUAGCCUCUUGCCUAUGCAGUCGGAGAGAUUGAGGUCUGCAGCGUAGAUCCUUCGGGGCUAAAUGCAUUUGUGCUAAGUUAUAGCAUUUUAUAGACAACUUGUUGACUAUGAUUUGUCUUGUAGCUUACUCGCUUAUGUUAUUUUACCUACGCUUAGGAUGUUGAUCUACAGAGCGAGAGU
Molecule: ribosomal RNA, 860 nt
Filed under: uncultured Neocallimastigales
Lineage: Eukaryota; Fungi; Neocallimastigomycota; Neocallimastigomycetes; Neocallimastigales
Description: partial large subunit ribosomal RNA
Rfam family: Eukaryotic large subunit ribosomal RNA
Source: RNAcentral